This 238-nucleotide ribosomal RNA is filed under the name uncultured bacterium. RNAcentral describes it as "partial 16S ribosomal RNA". It matches the Rfam family "Bacterial small subunit ribosomal RNA", at positions 96 to 334 of the family's 1533-position model. The record is from RNAcentral.
CGGCGGACGGGUGAGUAACGCGUGGGUAACCUACCCUGUACACACGGAUAACAUACCGAAAGGUAUGCUAAUACGGGAUAAUAUAUUUGAGAGGCAUCUCUUGAAUAUCAAAGGUGAGCCGGUACAGGAUGGACCCGCGUCUGAUUAGCUAGUUGGUAAGGUAACGGCUUACCAAGGCGACGAUCAGUAGCCGACCUGAGAGGGUGAUCGGCCACAUUGGAACUGAGACACGGUCCAA